RNAcentral lists this transfer RNA (74 nucleotides) under Methylopila capsulata. Its description in RNAcentral is "tRNA-Gln". It matches the Rfam family "tRNA". Rfam says of the family: Transfer RNA (tRNA) molecules are approximately 80 nucleotides in length. Their secondary structure includes four short double-helical elements and three loops (D, anti-codon, and T loops). The record is from RNAcentral. Lineage: Bacteria; Pseudomonadati; Pseudomonadota; Alphaproteobacteria; Hyphomicrobiales; Methylopilaceae. RNAcentral also lists the same sequence under 3 other names.
UGGGGGAUAGUUUAACGGUAGAACUACCGACUCUGACUCGGUCAGUCCUGGUUCGAAUCCAGGUCCCCCAGCCA